Molecule: non-coding RNA, 885 nt
Organism: Ciona intestinalis (vase tunicate)
Lineage: Eukaryota; Metazoa; Chordata; Ascidiacea; Phlebobranchia; Cionidae
Source: RefSeq, a predicted model, not a curated record
ACAGACAGUUCUAGUGGAGACAACACCAUGAAAUGCAAGGCUAGUUUUCUGUUGGUGGUGCUUUUCACCUUACAGCUUGUACAUAUAAAUGCAGCUGGGACAAAUUUCAGAACAAGACGUCGAAUCGGCUGGGGAUGGUUUCCAUUACCUGAAAUAAAACACGUACGGGUCCAUUUGUCUCAUGCUAACUAUCCUUUAACGAACGUGACUUCAACGAACGGGACCUUUACAAACGGCACUUUAACAAAUGCAACUAUUACUGACGGAACCUUUGCAAAUAUCGAAUUCGAACAGUUAGAUGCCCAGAGAAGAGUACUGCAAUAAUUUGCCACGAACGUGUCAUGCUUCGCACUGAUGAUGCCAUGAAUUAAAAGGAAAACAAGACAAUAUCGUUGCUUUAUUGUAUUUAUUCAAUAGUGAUGAGCUUGAGAAUACCAUGUGUAGCCUAUAAUCUUGGCCAGCUACAAUUAAAAAAUAAAUAUAAAAAGCAUUUUUUCGACACUGAUAACCCGACCGUUAACCGUCAUUUAUAAGUUGUAGGUCUCACAGCAUAAUUUCUCUUUAAGAUAUAAUAACAGUUACAAGUUAAUCAUUUAUCAAGCACUGGAUGAACAGUGCAUAGAUUAGAAAAGUGUAUUUUUUCAUCAACAAAUUCAUUGGUAUUUUUCCACAAUAAGGCCCUCAUGCGUCUAAUUAAAAUUCUUUACAUUUUAUCAUCUUACUCGGACUCGAAAAUUUAUAAAAUCGAAAAUCUAUACAUAAGUGUCAUCAGGAUGUCUAGGAAACGGUAUGUCGGGUUAGUUACGCAGAAAUGUAAGCGUGACUGAAGAAUGUUCACACAGUGAUGUCCAAAAACUUUGAUCUUGAAAUGUUUUUGGGUCUUUC